RNAcentral lists this ribosomal RNA (413 nucleotides) under Melamphaes parvus (little bigscale). RNAcentral describes it as "partial 16S ribosomal RNA". It matches the Rfam family "Bacterial large subunit ribosomal RNA", at positions 2042 to 2606 of the family's 2925-position model. Lineage: Eukaryota; Metazoa; Chordata; Actinopteri; Beryciformes; Melamphaidae. The record is from RNAcentral.
UUGAUCUCCCCGUGCAGAAGCGGGGAUUUUCUCAUAAGACGAGAAGACCCUAUGGAGCUUUAGACACAAAGCAACCCAAAUUACGACCUUGAAACUAAAUCAAGGCAAUAAAAUGACCCCCGCUCAACUGUCUUUGGUUGGGGCGACCCUGGGGAAAAACAAAACCCCCACGUGGAACAGAAGAACCCCUUCUACAACCAAGAGCCCCUGCUCUAAGUAACAGAACCUCUGACCAUUAAUGAUCCGGUAUAACCGAUCAACGAACCGAGUUACCCUAGGGAUAACAGCGCAAUCCCCUCCCAGAGCCCAUAUCGACGAGGGGGUUUACGACCUCGAUGUUGGAUCAGGAUAUCCUACUGGUGUAGCCGCUAUUAAGGGUUCGUUUGUUCAACGAUUAAAAUCCUACGUGAUCU